This 1216-nucleotide unclassified non-coding RNA is filed under the name Hevea brasiliensis (rubber tree). Lineage: Eukaryota; Viridiplantae; Streptophyta; Magnoliopsida; Malpighiales; Euphorbiaceae. The record is from RNAcentral.
CAGCCAUCUUGUCCAAAAUAAAUAUGUAAAUUAGCUUCUCAUAUCAAUCAAAUCUACCUUGUCUACCAAAUGAAUAUGCUCAACCUCUUUUCCUCCUUCCUCUUCAUCUUCUUCUUCCUACAAAUCGUAGAUACCCAAAAUUUUUGCCUCAACGCUGCUUGUGCUCGCAACGAGCCAGUCAUCCGAUUCCCUUUUCGGCUCCAAAAUCGCCAAUUCAAGUCAUGUGGGUAUCCAGGUUUCGACUUAUCCUGUGAUGCUAGCACCAACCGGACACUACUUGAGCUUCCUUUUUCAGGGAAAUUCAGCGUCGAAGCGAUAGACUAUGUUACCCAAGAAUUAUGGAUUAACGAUUUCAACGAUUGUCUCCCGGAGCGAAUUCUCUCUCUUAAUCUCUCCAGCUCUCCCUUCGCCGGCAUUUUUUAUCAAAACUUCACCUUCUUUAAUUGUUCUUUGGCCGAUUACACCAAGUAUCGGCUGAAUCCGAUUGCUUGCCUGAGUGGCUCGACUUAUACAGUUUUUGCGACGUCGUCUUUAAGCGUUAUUAGUCUUUUGUCUCAACCAUCAUCAUCCUGUAGGUCAUUUGCAACUAAGGAGGUUCCAGUGGAGUGGCCAUUUUACGGGCAGAUACUGUCCUCGGACCUCAGUGAUGAUCUCCGUCUCACUUGGGGUGCCCCCGCGUGUGGAAAGUGCGAGUCUCGUGGUGGACGUUGCGGUCCCAAGAGUAAUUCUACGCCUGAAAUUGUUUGCUCUAAUCCUACUACACACGGAAUUCCAAGAAGCGCACGUUACAUCAUGGUGAUAGGCGCUGGAGUACCAAUAGCGUUGUGUGUGCUUGGUAUAUUAUGUUUCCUCUGCAGCAGGCUCAGGCACUGCGCUAGAAGAAGGAGCCACCCUCUUCCAGAAUUUGCUUUCAUAGUUAAUCCACAACCCACAGUCAGUGCAGGCCUGGAUGGACCCACCAUAGAAUCCUAUCCCAAAAUAGUCCUUGGAGAGAGCCGACGCUUGCCCAAGCCUGAGGACAACAUUUGCUCAAUAUGCUUGUCAGAGUACAAACCUAAGGAGACGCUUAAGACUAUUCCUGAAUGCCAGCAUUGCUUCCAUGUUGAUUGCAUUGAUGAAUGGCUUCGAUUGAAUGCUACCUGUCCCAUUUGCCGGAACUCGCCUCAGCGGUUGCCGCCACCUCUUCCUUCUUGAUGAAUUCAUUGCGUUGCAAACU